This 73-nucleotide transfer RNA is filed under the name Daphnia pulex (common water flea). It matches the Rfam family "tRNA". Rfam says of the family: Transfer RNA (tRNA) molecules are approximately 80 nucleotides in length. Their secondary structure includes four short double-helical elements and three loops (D, anti-codon, and T loops). Lineage: Eukaryota; Metazoa; Arthropoda; Branchiopoda; Diplostraca; Daphniidae. The record is from Rfam by way of RNAcentral.
GGUCCUAUGGCUUAGAUGGCAAAUUGCCUGCCUAGUAAGCAGGAGAUCACGAGUUCGAGUCUUGUUGGGACCU